RNAcentral lists this ribosomal RNA (312 nucleotides) under uncultured Planctomycetota bacterium. RNAcentral's name for it is "bacterial SSU rRNA". It matches the Rfam family "Bacterial small subunit ribosomal RNA", at positions 29 to 351 of the family's 1533-position model. Lineage: Bacteria; Pseudomonadati; Planctomycetota. The record is from RNAcentral.
AAUGAACGUUGGCGGCGUGGAUUAGGCAUGCAAGUCGAGCGAGUCUACCUUAUAGCAAUAUGAGGUAAGUCGAGCGGCGUAAGGGGCAGUAAUACCUGGGAACGUACCCUGAGGUCGGGGAUAGCUGCUGGAAACGGCGAGUAAUACCCGAUGAUCUUGGAAAAGCAAAGGCUUGCCGCCUUGGGAGCGGCCCAGGCGAUAUUAGCUAGUUGGUGGGGUAAUGGCCUACCAAGGCUUAGAUGUCUAGCGGGUGUGAGAGCACGACCCGCGCCACUGGCACUGAGACACUGGCCAGACACCUACGGGUGGCUG